GGGCGGUUAGCUCAGGUGGCCAGAGCGUUACGUUGACAUCGUAAAGGCCGCAGGUUCAAGUCCUGCACCGCCCAC
This 75-nucleotide transfer RNA is filed under the name candidate division TA06 bacterium ADurb.Bin131. RNAcentral describes it as "tRNA-Val". It matches the Rfam family "tRNA". Rfam says of the family: Transfer RNA (tRNA) molecules are approximately 80 nucleotides in length. Their secondary structure includes four short double-helical elements and three loops (D, anti-codon, and T loops). Further hydrogen bonds mediate the characteristic L-shaped molecular structure. tRNAs have two regions of fundamental functional importance: the anti-codon, which is responsible for specific mRNA codon recognition, and the 3' end, to which the tRNAs corresponding amino acid is attached (by aminoacyl-tRNA synthetases). tRNAs cope with the degeneracy of the genetic code in two manners: having more than one tRNA (with a specific anti-codon) for a particular amino acid; and 'wobble' base-pairing, i.e. permitting non-standard base-pairing at the 3rd anti-codon position. The record is from RNAcentral.